GCUCGUCGUAUCCUGGGGCUGUACAAGGUCCCAAGGGUUGGUCUGUUCGCCCAUUAAAACGGCACGUGAGCUGGGUUCAGAACGUCGUGAGACAGUUCGGUCCCUAUCUGAUGUGGGCGCAGGAGAUUUGAGGGAAGCUGUCCUUAGUACGAGAGGACCGGGAUGGCGGGACCUCCAGUAUUCCAGUUGUUCUGCCAAGGGCAACGCUGGUUAGCUGUGUCCCGAAGGGAUAACCGCUGAAAGCAUCUAAGUGGGAAGCCCCUCCCAAGAUAAGAUCUCCCGGGCCGUAAGGCUCCUAAAGGUCACUUGGAGACUACAAGUUUGAUAGGCCGGGUGUGUAAGCGCCGCAAGGCGUUAAGCUAACCGGUACUAAUCGACCGUGAGGCUUGACCAAUUU
Molecule: ribosomal RNA, 397 nt
Filed under: Deltaproteobacteria bacterium
Lineage: Bacteria; Pseudomonadati; Myxococcota; Myxococcia
Description: bacterial LSU rRNA
Rfam family: Bacterial large subunit ribosomal RNA
Source: RNAcentral